CUGUAGAGGUGGUCGUCCUGUACUUCAACUGACAUCUAUUGUUGCCCCAUUUAUUGUAGCCUUGUUAUACAGGAAAAUGAAGACUCAACUAAUCAGUUCAUUUACUGUCUCUGACCUAAACCCAUGCCUCAAAUCCUAGUCUCUUUAAAUGAACAGUCUUGAUUGACAGGUAACUCCAACCAUAGUCUCUUUAAAUGAACAGUCUUGACUGACAGGUAACUCCAACCAUAGUCUCUUUAAAUGAACAGUCUUGACUGACAGGUUACUCCGACCAUAGUCUCUUUAAAUGAACAGUCUUGAUUGACAGGUUACUCCGACCAUAGUCUCUUUAAAUGAACAGUCUUGAUUGACAGGUAACUCCAACCAUAGUCUCUUUAAAUGAACAGUCUUGACUGACAGGUUACUCCGACCAUAGUCUCUUUAAAUGAACAGUCUUGAUUGACAGGUUACUCCGACCAUAGUCUCUUUAAAUGAACAGUCUUGAUUGACAGGUUACUCCGACCAUAGUCUCUUUAAAUGAACAGUCUUGAUUGACAGGACAUUGGCCACCAGACUAUUUAACUGCACCCAGUCUCCUCUGAACAGUU
Molecule: long non-coding RNA, 587 nt
Organism: Oncorhynchus tshawytscha (Chinook salmon)
Lineage: Eukaryota; Metazoa; Chordata; Actinopteri; Salmoniformes; Salmonidae
Source: Ensembl